GGCGAACGGGUGAGUAAUGCUUCGGAAUCUGCCCAGUAGUGGGGAAUAACCAACCGAAAGGUUGGCUAACGCCGCAUACGACCUACGGGUGAAAGCAGGGGAUCGUAAGACCUUGCGCUAUUGGAUGAGCCGAAGUCGGAUUAGCUAGUUGGUAGGGUAACGGCCUACCAAGGCGACAAUCCGUAGCUGGUCUGAGAGGACGACCAGCCACACUGGGACUGAGACACGGCCCAGACUCCUACGGGAGGCAGCAGUGGGGAAUAUUGGACAAUGGGGGCAACCCUGAUCCAGCGACGCCGCGUGUGUGAAGAAGGCCUGCGGGUUGUAAAGCACUUUUAGUGGGGAUGAAAAGCUCAGGGCUAAUACCUCUGGGUCUUGACCUAACCCACAGAAAAAGCACCGGCUAACUCUGUGCCAGCAGCCGCGG
This 427-nucleotide ribosomal RNA is filed under the name uncultured bacterium. RNAcentral describes it as "bacterial SSU rRNA". It matches the Rfam family "Bacterial small subunit ribosomal RNA", at positions 97 to 520 of the family's 1533-position model. The record is from RNAcentral.